UAGGGAAUCUUCGGCAUGGACGAAAGUCUGACCGAGCAACGCCGCGUGCGUGAAGAAGGUUUUCGGAUCGUAAAACUCUGUUGUUAGAGAAGAACAAGGACGUUAGUAACUGAACGUCCCCUGACGGUAUCUAACCAGAAAGCCACGGCUAACUACGUGCCAGCAGCCGCGGUAAUACGUAGGUGGCAAGCGUUGUCCGGAUUUAUUGGGCGUAAAGCGAGCGCAGGCGGUUUCUUAAGUCUGAUGUGAAAGCCCCCGGCUCAACCGGGGAGGGUCAUUGGAAACUGGGAGACUUGAGUGCAGAAGAGGAGAGUGGAAUUCCAUGUGUAGCGGUGAAAUGCGUAGAUAUAUGGAGGAACACCAGUGGCGAAGGCGGCUCUCUGGUCUGUAACUGACGCUGAGGCUCGAAAGCGUGGGGAGCAAACAGG
Molecule: ribosomal RNA, 428 nt
Filed under: Gemmatimonadota bacterium
Lineage: Bacteria; Pseudomonadati; Gemmatimonadota
Description: Gemmatimonadetes bacterium partial 16S ribosomal RNA
Rfam family: Bacterial small subunit ribosomal RNA
Source: RNAcentral